RNAcentral lists this ribosomal RNA (253 nucleotides) under uncultured bacterium. Its description in RNAcentral is "partial 16S ribosomal RNA". It matches the Rfam family "Bacterial small subunit ribosomal RNA", at positions 524 to 776 of the family's 1533-position model. The record is from RNAcentral.
UACGAAGGGGGCUAGCGUUGUUCGGAAUUACUGGGCGUAAAGCGCGCGCAGGCGGCUAUCCAAGUCAGUGGUGAAAGCCCGGAGCUCAACUCCGGAACUGCCAUUGAAACUGUUUAGCUUGAGUAUGAGAGAGGUGAGUGGAAUUCCCAGUGUAGAGGUGAAAUUCGUAGAUAUUGGGAAGAACACCGGUGGCGAAGGCGGCUCACUGGCUCAUUACUGACGCUGAGGCACGAAGGCGUGGGGAGCAAACAGG